RNAcentral lists this long non-coding RNA (637 nucleotides) under Helianthus annuus (common sunflower). Its description in RNAcentral is "hypothetical non coding rna". Lineage: Eukaryota; Viridiplantae; Streptophyta; Magnoliopsida; Asterales; Asteraceae. The record is from RNAcentral.
UCUCGGUUCCAGUGGCCGAUUCCCAUUCCCCAUAUGUGCAAUAUUUAAGUUUGAGUGCUUUAUUUGAACAUCUCAUUUAAAUUAUUGACAUAAAGGUAUCCGGAGAUUUUUCAUUCAUAAGCCUAUCCACAAUUCCCACAACCAUCACCAUAAGCCAUCAUUUUCCACCACUAAACACCUCCUUUAAACCCCUUUUAAGCCAUUUCAAGAGUGAUUAAGGAACUGCAAGCAUGGAGGUGCAUUAGGAAUCACUUGGGAGCUCUUAUUUUCUUUAAUCUUCAUCUUAAGCUUGUGCAAAGUUAGUGUUUACAAAGAUGAUCUUGUGUUAUUACGCGCUAAUUGGAUACCCGAACUGCUAGCAUACAUACGGACGCAAACUUGUAACUAAGUGGAUCUUGGUGUAACGAAUUAUGAAGUUUCAAGUUUACUAUGAAGACGAUGUCAUCCGUAUUUUGGAGGGUUUGAUCCAUAUAUCCCGUCUUCGAACGGGACAUAGGAUGCAAAACCUCGUUAUUUCAAAAACUUUAUUUUGAACAAGUCUUGUUUGUAAAACUUAUAAACUUAUGUCGUCUUUUGCUACAAAACAACUUAUGACUUGUAUCUUUACAUUAUGGAAUGGAUGAACAUCGUGUAUGUU